This 429-nucleotide ribosomal RNA is filed under the name bacterium. RNAcentral's name for it is "partial 16S ribosomal RNA". It matches the Rfam family "Bacterial small subunit ribosomal RNA", at positions 355 to 776 of the family's 1533-position model. The record is from RNAcentral.
UAGGGAAUCUUCCACAAUGGACGCAAGUCUGAUGGAGCAACGCCGCGUGAGUGAAGAAGGUUUUCGGAUCGUAAAGCUCUGUUGUUGGUGAAGAAGGAUAGAGGCAGUAACUGGUCUUUAUUUGACGGUAAUCAACCAGAAAGUCACGGCUAACUACGUGCCAGCAGCCGCGGUAAUACGUAGGUGGCAAGCGUUGUCCGGAUUUAUUGGGCGUAAAGCGAGCGCAGGCGGAAUGAUAAGUCUGAUGUGAAAGCCCACGGCUCAACCGUGGAACUGCAUCGGAAACUGUCAUUCUUGAGGGCAGAAGAGGAGAGUGGAAUUCCAUGUGUAGCGGUGGAAUGCGUAGAUAUAUGGAAGAACACCAGUGGCGAAGGCGGCUCUCUAGUCUGCAACUGACGCUGAGGCUCGAAAGCAUGGGUAGCGAACAAG